This 467-nucleotide ribosomal RNA is filed under the name uncultured bacterium. RNAcentral's name for it is "partial 16S ribosomal RNA". It matches the Rfam family "Bacterial small subunit ribosomal RNA", at positions 28 to 506 of the family's 1533-position model. The record is from RNAcentral.
GACGAACGCUGGCGGCGUGCUUAACACAUGCAAGUCGAACGGAAAGGCCCUGCUUUUGUGGGGUGCUCGAGUGGCGAACGGGUGAGUAACACGUGAGUAACCUGCCCUUGACUUUGGGAUAACUUCAGGAAACUGGGGCUAAUACCGGAUAGGAGCUCCUGCUGCAUGGUGGGGGUUGGAAAGUUUCGGCGGUUGGGGAUGGACUCGCGGCUUAUCAGCUUGUUGGUGGGGUAGUGGCUUACCAAGGCUUUGACGGGUAGCCGGCCUGAGAGGGUGACCGGCCACAUGGGGACUGAGAUACGGCCCAGACUCCUACGGGAGGCAGCAGUGGGGAAUAUUGCACAAUGGGCGGAGGCCUGAUGCAGCAACGCCGCGUGCGGGAUGACGGCCUUCGGGUUGUAAACCGCUUUCGCCUGUGACGAAGCGUGAGGGACGGUAAUGGGUAAAGAAGCACCGGCUAACUACGU